Molecule: transfer RNA, 72 nt
Filed under: Bos taurus (domestic cattle)
Lineage: Eukaryota; Metazoa; Chordata; Mammalia; Artiodactyla; Bovidae
Also listed under: 4 other names
Rfam family: tRNA
About the family: Transfer RNA (tRNA) molecules are approximately 80 nucleotides in length.
Source: Rfam by way of RNAcentral
UCCCUGAUGGCUCAAAUGGUAGAGCAUCUGCCUGCAAUGCGGGAGACCUGGGUUCAUUCCCUGGCUCGGGAA